RNAcentral lists this ribosomal RNA (325 nucleotides) under uncultured Bacteroidota bacterium. Its description in RNAcentral is "bacterial SSU rRNA". It matches the Rfam family "Bacterial small subunit ribosomal RNA", at positions 28 to 351 of the family's 1533-position model. Lineage: Bacteria; Pseudomonadati; Bacteroidota. The record is from RNAcentral.
GAUGAACGCUAGCGGCAGGCUUAAUACAUGCAAGUCGUACGGGAUCCGAGGUAGCAAUAUCUUGGUGAGAGUGGCGCACGGGUGCGUAACACGUAUGCAACCUACCUUUAACCGGGACACAACCUCGAGAAAUUGAGGCUAAUAUCCCAUAACACUGCGAAGUGGCAUCACUAUGCAGUUAAAACUCCGGUGGUUAUUGAUGGGCAUGCGCGACAUUAGCUAGUUGGUGAGGUAACGGCCCACCAAGGCUACGAUGUCUAGGGGUUCUGAGAGGAUGAUCAGCCACACUGGAACUGACACACGGUCCAGACUCCUACGGGUGCAG